Molecule: ribosomal RNA, 484 nt
Filed under: Treponema sp. oral taxon 228
Lineage: Bacteria; Pseudomonadati; Spirochaetota; Spirochaetia; Treponematales; Treponemataceae
Description: bacterial SSU rRNA
Rfam family: Bacterial small subunit ribosomal RNA
Source: RNAcentral
AACGAACGCUGGCGGCGCGUCUUAAGCAUGCAAGUCGAACGGCAAGAGAGAAGCUUGCUUCUCUCCUAGAGUGGCGGACUGGUGAGGAACACGUGGGUAAUCUACCCUUAAGAUGGGGAUAGCUGCUAGAAAUAGCAGGUAAUACCGAAUACACUCAGUUUUUCAUAAGAAGGAUUGAGGAAAGGAAGCUACGGCUUCGCUUGAGGAUGAGCUUGCGUCCCAUUAGCUUGUUGGUGAGGUAACGGCUCACCAAGGCGACGAUGGGUAUCCGGCCUGAGAGGGUGAUCGGACACAUUGGGACUGAGAUACGGCCCAAACUCCUACGGGAGGCAGCAGCUAGGAAUAUUCCGCAAUGGACGAAAGUCUGACGGAGCGACGCCGCGUGGAUGAAGAAGGCUGAAAAGUUGUAAAAUCCUUUUGUUGAUGAAGAAUAAGGGUGAGAGGGAAUGUUCAUCUGAUGACGGUAAUCAGCGAAUAAGCCCCG